GACGAACGCUGGCGGCGUGCUUAACACAUGCAAGUCGAACGGAAAGGCCCUGCUUUUGUGGGGUGCUCGAGUGGCGAACGGGUGAGUAACACGUGAGUAACCUGCCCUUGACUUUGGGAUAACUUCAGGAAACUGGGGCUAAUACCGGAUAGGAGCUCCUGCUGCAUGGUGGGGGUUGGAAAGUUUCGGCGGUUGGGGAUGGACUCGCGGCUUAUCAGCUUGUUGGUGGGGUAGUGGCUUACCAAGGCUUUGACGGGUAGCCGGCCUGAGAGGGUGACCGUCCAGAUUGGGACGGAGAUAGCGCCCAUACUCCUACGGGAGGCAGCAGUGGAGAAUAUUGCACGAUGGGCGGAAGCCUGAUGCAGCAACGCCGCGUGCGGUAGUACGGCCUUCGGGUUGUAAACCUCUUUCGCCUGUGACGAAGCGUGAGUGACGGUAAUGGGUAAAGAAGAACCGGCUAACUACGUG
This 468-nucleotide ribosomal RNA is filed under the name uncultured bacterium. Its description in RNAcentral is "partial 16S ribosomal RNA". It matches the Rfam family "Bacterial small subunit ribosomal RNA", at positions 28 to 507 of the family's 1533-position model. The record is from RNAcentral.